AAUGAACGUUGGCGGCAUGGAUUAGGCAUGCAAGUCGAGCGAGAAGGGUUUUGAAGCUUGCUUUGAAACCCGGAAAGCGGCGCAAGGGAGAGUAACGAGUAGUUAUCUACCCCAAGGCCCGGAAUAGCUGCGGGAAACUGCAGGUAAUGCCGGAUAAUAUCCCCGGAUCAAAGGUGUGAUUCCGCCUUGGGAGGAGACUGCUUUGUACUAGCUAGUUGGUAGGGUAAUGGCCUACCAAGGCUACGAUGCAUAGCGGGCGUGAGAGCGUGGCCCGUCUCACUGGGACUGAAACACUGCCCAGACACCUACGGGUGGCUGCAGUCGAGAAUCUUCGGCAAUGGGCGAAAGCCUGACCGAGCGAUGCCGCGUGCGGGAUGAAGGCCCUCGGGUUGUAAACCGCUGUCGUAGAGGAGAAAGGUCUGAUGAAGAAUCAGAUUUGAUCUAUUCUAGGAGGAAGUCCGGGCUAAAUUCGUGCCAGCCGCCGCCGUAA
Molecule: ribosomal RNA, 490 nt
Filed under: uncultured bacterium
Lineage: Bacteria
Description: partial 16S ribosomal RNA
Rfam family: Bacterial small subunit ribosomal RNA
Source: RNAcentral